GUGGUGGCUGGCGGUGAGCACAGGCACCCACGGAAGGAGCUGUGAGUCUCUGUUUAUGCCAGACUGAAAACGGAAAUGGUCAGCGGCGAGGGAGUCAUCAGGCAGCAGAGCAAAGGGUGGCAUCUUUCCCUACCCUCUGCCAGGUUUUUCAUGGCUGGCCCAUAAAAACCCCCAUUUCUUCGUCCCACCCUCCCCUCCAUUUUUCACUCUGGUCGUCUGCUUCCGUGUGGGGCUCCUAUCAGCAGCAGUUUCUCUGGAGAGAAAUAAACGGGCACCUGGUUUUGGUCUCACCCGGAGACAGAGAACGAUACCCUGUGCUGCCUGUUUUGCGUGGUUCUGAAGGGUGUGUGUGUGUGUGUGUGUGCGUGCCAUGCACACCUGCUCUGCCUGCCCAGCC
RNAcentral lists this long non-coding RNA (397 nucleotides) under Fukomys damarensis (Damara mole-rat). RNAcentral's name for it is "lncRNA (ENSFDAG00000026490.1)". Lineage: Eukaryota; Metazoa; Chordata; Mammalia; Rodentia; Bathyergidae. The record is from RNAcentral.